AUACAGAUCGGAAAAGAAGAAGUCAAAAUAUCACUAUUUGCAGAUGAUGUGAUAGCAUACUUACAUGACCCCAAAAGUUCCACCAAAACUAGAUAAGAUUGAUGAAGCUAAAAAAUGCAUGCUGAAAGGGACCAGAUAUAGAUCUCUCCUGAGAGACACAUCCAGAACAUGUCCAAUACAGAGGUCAAUGCUAGCAGCAAACCACAGAACACUGAGCAAGACCCUCUUGGGGGUAAUUAGAGGAAGUACUGAAAGAGUUGAAGGAGCUUGCAACGCCAUAAAAACAACAAUGCCAACCAACAACAGCUUCCAGGGACUAAACCACCACCAAAAAACUAUACAUGGUCUGACCCAGGGUUCCAACUACAUAUGUAGCAGAGAAUAGCCUUGUUGGGGCACCAGUGGAAUGGGAAGCCCUUGGUCCUGCCAAGGUUGGACCCCCAGUGCAGAGGAAUAUAGGAGAGCAUGCAGUAAGGGGGAUGUAUGGUGGGAAUACCUGUAUGGGGGAGGGUUAGGAGAGGGGAUGAAAGCUUAUGGACAGGAAACCAGGAAGGGGAAUAACAUUUGAAAUGUAUGUAAAGAAAUAUUAUCUAAUAAAAAUUUUUUUAAAAAACAAGAGAAAACAAAGAAGCUCAGGAAAAUGUAUUCAAAUAAAUAUUUUCCAAAUAUGUAAUGUUCUACCCAAAAAAUAAAAGUUAAAAAAAGAA
Molecule: long non-coding RNA, 707 nt
Filed under: Rattus norvegicus (Norway rat)
Lineage: Eukaryota; Metazoa; Chordata; Mammalia; Rodentia; Muridae
Description: long non-coding RNA NONRATT009164
Source: RNAcentral